UAUGGAGGGGGCUAGCGUUGUUCGGAAUUACUGGGCGUAAAGCGCGCGUAGGCGGCUUUGUAAGUUAGAGGUGAAAGCCCGGGGCUCAACUCCGGAAUUGCCUUUAAAACUGCAUCGCUAGAAUUGUGGAGAGGUAAGUGGAAUUCCGAGUGUAGAGGUGAAAUUCGUAGAUAUUCGGAAGAACACCAGUGGCGAAGGCGACUUACUGGACACAUAUUGACGCUGAGGUGCGAAAGCGUGGGGAGCAAACAGG
Molecule: ribosomal RNA, 253 nt
Filed under: uncultured bacterium
Lineage: Bacteria
Description: partial 16S ribosomal RNA
Rfam family: Bacterial small subunit ribosomal RNA
Source: RNAcentral